GACGAACGCUGGCGGCGUGCUUAGCACAUGCAAGUCGAACGGUGAAGCGCCUUCCUUUUUGGUGGGUGUGGAUGAGUGGCGAACGGGUGAGUAACACGUGAGUAACCUGCCCCCUUCUUCUGGAUAACCGCAUGAAAGUGUGGCUAAUACGGGAUAUUCUGGGUCUGUCGCAUGAUGGGUCUGGGAAAGAUAUUGUUUCGGUGGGGGAUGGGCUCGCGGCCUAUCAGCUUGUUGGUGGGGUGAUGGCCUACCAAGGCGGUGACGGGUAGCCGGCCUGAGAGGGUGGACGGUCACACUGGGACUGAGACACGGGCCAGACUCCUACGGGAGGCAGCAGUGGGGAAUAUUGCACAAUGGGCGAAAGCCUGAUGCAGCGACGCCGCGUGAGGGAUGGAGGCCUUCGGGUUGUGAACCUCUUUCGCCAGUGAAGCAGGCCUGCCUCGUUUGUGGGUGGGUUGACAGUAGCUGGAUAAGAAGCGCCGGCUAACUACGUG
RNAcentral lists this ribosomal RNA (494 nucleotides) under uncultured bacterium. RNAcentral describes it as "partial 16S ribosomal RNA". It matches the Rfam family "Bacterial small subunit ribosomal RNA", at positions 28 to 507 of the family's 1533-position model. The record is from RNAcentral.